AGUCGGUGACCCUCCUGCCCAUGCCUGGGAGGAUGUGAGCUCUGGUGCCCCAGGCAGCCUGGAAUUGUGCCCUGGGAGUGGGGCUGGGGCAAGGGAGAGGCUGCAGUGUCAUUACAGGGAUGUCCUCCUUUCCUGGAGGUCACUUUGGGCUUGACCACGGGCUGUCCACUGCCUGGCGUGGUCUCUGAUUUGCUGCUCUCUGCGGACCCUUGGUUGUGCUCUUUCGGGCUUAUCUAACCUUACUCAUGCAAAGACCCGAAGCUCUGGCAUUCCCCAUAUCUGACCUGGGAUCCCUAGUCUUUCUCAUUAUCUGUGCUACCCCCUCCCAGAGUGUCCCGGGGAGAAUCACCGCAUCCACUUCCUGAGAUUACCUGGCACUUGUCCAGUCUUUCUGCAGUCAACAUCGCCCAGAUUCCAUGCAGAACCCUUUGCAGACUCCUGAGGAGGUACAGACAAGGAGUGUCCCUGUCCUCAUGGUGCUACAUGAAAAGGGAUCAGGACAGCAUAGUGUGUCCUCUGUCUUGAGAAGUUCGCAUCCAGCUCUGCCAUGGACCAGCCAUGCUCAUGGAUUGCCUCUCAUUUUGCUACGGACAGGAGACAGGAAAAUACUGGGUAGAAGAGGGCGGUUCCCGACAAAGGCCCCAACCUCAAGCCUGAAGACCCACGACCCUAAAUGAGGACAGCCAUUUCUGAUUUUGUGCCCAAAAAUUUGCCUUUUGGCCUGCCACACCCAACAUCUUGCCCCUAUAUAAACCCGAGACCUUAGCGGGCACACACACAAUCAGCCAAAUGUUGGGAUUAGCAGACCAGUGGACCAGCGGACCAGCAGACCAGUUAACGGUGGAACAACGCAGCAGAGAAAGAGAGAAGAGGAGGGAUGUCUGAAUGCCAAGGGGAAUUCGGCCGCGGGCAGUUAGAAAAGUCUGGCUGCUGGGCGGCCCGACUCUAGGGGAAGACCACCUUCCCACUCCAUCCCCUGUUCUGGCUCCCCAUCCAUCUCCCUGAGAGCCACCUCUACCACUCAAUAAAACCUUUCAUUCAU
Long non-coding RNA from Homo sapiens (human), 1042 nucleotides. The record is from Ensembl. NCBI's taxonomy places the organism in Eukaryota, Metazoa, Chordata, Mammalia, Primates, Hominidae.